CCUACGGGUGGCAGCAGUGAGGAAUAUUGGUCAAUGGACGAGAGUCUGAACCAGCCAAGUAGCGUGAAGGAUGACUGCCCUAUGGGUUGUAAACUUCUUUUAUAAAGGAAUAAAACGAGGCACGUGUGCCUUUUUGCAUGUACUUUAUGAAUAAGGAUCGGCUAACUCCGUGCCAGCAGCCGCGGUAAUACGGAGGAUGCGAGCGUUAUCCGGAUUUAUUGGGUUUAAAGGGUGCGCAGGCGGAUUUUUAAGUCAGCGGUCAAAUCGUGGGGCUCAACCCCAUCCAGCCGUUGAAACUGGGGAUCUAGAGUGUGCGAGAGGUAUGCGGAAUGCGUGGUGUAGCGGUGAAAUGCAUAGAUAUCACGCAGAACCCCGAUUGCGAAGGCAGCAUACCGGUGCACAACUGACGCUCAGGCACGAAAGCGUGGGUAUCGAACAGGAUUAGAUACCCCAGUAGUC
Molecule: ribosomal RNA, 459 nt
Filed under: uncultured bacterium
Lineage: Bacteria
Description: partial 16S ribosomal RNA
Rfam family: Bacterial small subunit ribosomal RNA
Source: RNAcentral